RNAcentral lists this long non-coding RNA (3818 nucleotides) under Homo sapiens (human). Its description in RNAcentral is "HSALNT0022282". The record is from RNAcentral. Lineage: Eukaryota; Metazoa; Chordata; Mammalia; Primates; Hominidae.
CCCCCCUCUAAUACUUUCCUUAUAGUUGAAGGCUGGAUAAUAAGGAUUUGCUGAUGUAUCGUUGCUGCUGUUGUUAAGAUCUCAGUCAAUCCCUCCUGGUUGCUGAAGCCUGAAUAAAUAAUAAGAAUCUCUGGUUAUUUGGUUGUUUAUCCUACUGUUCAUAAAUAAUUCAAACUCCCACAAAACAGUCACUUAUUGAGGUUACACAUAUAAAUGUAUGGUGCAGUGCUGUGCAGAAAGCAUGGCCCAUUAGCUCUAACUCACAUCAGCUCCCAGGCCCUACGUCAGCUGACCUAUCUAAGCCUUUGUUUCUCAUCCAUAAAGUGCCUGUUAUCAUAUCUAUCUCACAGAGAUCCUCUCACAGAUAAAGAUUACACAAGGCCUUCUGGGCAGCAGAGACAAUUGGAAAUUGAGGCUGAGUGAACCACAGAUGUUUGUUGCCUCCAUCCACUGCAAAACAGGAUCUGAUUGGAUGAGUUUGUGACGGAGUGAUAUGGAAAACCCUCAAUCGUUAUGGUAUCUCACAGCCAUUGGGCUCCCUCAGAUGCAGAGAACACAUGAAAGCCCUUGGCUCACACAAUGAUCCAGGUCCAGUCAAUCAUGACUGGAACAGCAGGACACAGGAUCAGUUUCACUCAAGCUAGAUGGCUCAGGCUUGGGUCCACUCUCCCCAAAUGGGGCUUUUAGAAAUGCCAGGUACUUAGGAGCUUCACAGUUUCCCCUCUAGUAUUAAUACUUAUUGUAUUUCAUCAAAUCCAAGAUAUACCAAUUGUAAGAUGCACCAUUAUUAUAUGCAUCACUGAUAAUUUUAUGCAUCACUGAUAUUUUUCAAAAGGCAUCCUGAAUGUUAUAAGAAGCUGACUGAUAUCAGAGAUGUUAGAAUAGGAUCUCAGAACGGAUGAAAUAUGUUAUGAAAUAUGGUUAUGGUUAUGCAAAUACCUAGUCAUAACAGUCAUCAAUAGAAGUGUAGCUCCUUUUUGCCCACCUCAAAGGCAAAGCCUGUGUCAUCUUUAUACCCACUAUGGAACCUAAGACUGGAUCAUGAUGGAAUGAUGGCAAUAAAAAACAUAACUGAUAUUUACUGAGCACUUUAUUUGUGUUGCAGCGCAACUUUAUAUGAAUUAAUACUCAAGAUAACUUUUAUUGCUUGUUUUGGUAAGUACUAUUAUUCCCACUUUGCAGAUAAGGGUACUGAGACUUAAAGAGAAGUUAAACAUCUCAACCAAGUUAGGAAGAUGCUUGGAUUACAAACCCAAGUCUAUCUAAUGCUAGAUCUACACCUUCUAAGCCACUGUGUUACACUGUCCUUAAGGAGGGUCAGGUUGUGGGUGUCAAGACUACAAAGGCAAGUAACACACGUGAGAAGCUCAGGCCAGAAUCAGAGAGAAGGAUGGUCAAGAGUUUUGGAGAUGAGGUAACUUAAAGAACUGGGUCAUGGAUUUUAUGAGAAAACUUGCUUAAAAUCUCCAAUUUGAGGUCCUCUGUCCAACUUUCUCAUUCCUUUAAUUUGGGAGUUAGGCUUUUGCCUCCAGGAGUGAGGGCUGUAUUGGACACAAUGAAAUCAAUGUGAGAACAUUAUUUUCUAACUCAUGAUUCAGGACCCAGUCACCAUGAUGCACUGAUUUUUUUUCAAACUUCAAUUAUACUUUAAAAAUACAUUUGAUAAAAGACAUUCAAUUUAAACAUUUCCCAAGCUGAUGUUGAAUAAUUUAAACAUUUUCCCUUCUAUCUGAGACAGAAAAAAUAAAUACAUAACUCUGAGAAUGUACAUAACUCUGAGAAUCAAUCACCUUCAUUUCCCUAUUCCUUAAUGAUAUUCUGUAAUGAGCUGUGAACAUAUACCUGUCUUUCUGCUGAGCCUCUUCCAUCAGCAUUUUACCAUUAAAUGGGAAAUAGGGGUGGAGAAGGCUGAGGUAGGAGUACACAAAUUACUGCAGGGAACAGAAAUUAAGGGCAUUUUCCAACUCCAAAGAUCAGAAUAUAAAACUGUUCAUUCUCUCAAGAAUUAAAGCAGCAUAACAUAAAAAAAAUUAACACAAGAAAAUGCAGCAAUGGCUUCAAGACAGCGUAUUCAGAAGCAAAGCUGACCCUUUACCAUAUCACCCUAGUGGAUCCAUCACUCAUCACUACACCAUCCGAUACACAGGGUCACCAACUCUCAGGCUUCCAAUUUUUUCCACUGAAUAAUAGAUCCCAAAAAGUGGAGACAACUUGUACAAUUCCCUCUCAGAAGGAUCACACAGGCGGUAGCUGAAACAAGCAAAAAUUCAAUCAUCAGACACAAAAAGGAAAUAAUAAUCGAAGUAUUCUCAAUAGAACUCAAGUUUGCCUUCCAAGUUAUUUAUAAAUACACAGCAAGAAUUUUCUAAAAUGUUGCGAGAGAAGUCUGUGGACAAUUAGUCAAACUGCAAAUAAUUCUAGUUUUUCUAGAAGUAUCCUGAAAGUCUACGCAAUUUCUCCAUGGCUUCAGUUUAAGUCCAAAAAGAAAAAAACUUAUGUGUAAGUAUAAAAUAAAUACUUUGUCUAUAUGGGUACCUUCAACUUCACAACUCAUUGAAACAAAUGCCCCUAAAACUCAAAAUGGAAUGGCCCUGAACUCUACAAAUCUUCUGUUUAGUGCAUUUAAGCACCAUGCUUUCAACCCCCUCCAGGUUUAUGAGCCCAAAGCUGGGGUUCACUGGUGAACAAAAAUUCAGACAGACAUGAAGUUGGCAGAUGGGUCUGGACUACUGCAGAUGUUAAUCUUUUUCCAGUGUCCUGUCUAAAGAAAACAAUAACUUUCACAGCAUCUUAAAUAAUUAUCACUACAUCUUAAAAAUCAAAAACAAAAUAGAAUUGUAAAUCUGAAGUCAUCAUGAAAUAACCUCUUUUCUAAGCUAAACCCAUUGGAAACAAUCCACAAAACAGAGGAAAGAGAAACAAAAUAGAAUACAGCUCCAAAGAAUGUUAAGCCUAAAUCACUAUCUUCGUUGGGAACUAAAGUCAGCCAAACUUCUUUAAAUAACAAAACAAAAGAGAAAUCCUUAGCAUAAAAGAAGCUCCUUGGUAAAAAAGCUCUGACAACUCAUUACAUUCAUUUUUUUCUAAUAUUUCAUUAUGCAGUUUCAAUUAUUCUCAUAUUCCUUGAUAUUGAUUCUAAUAAAGGAAUUUGAGUUGCAAUAAACAUGAUUAAAUAAAGUGUUUAAGGCCUACAUUUGGAAAGACAUAUAUAAAUAGUAUUAAAAAUUGAUAUGAGAGAUACUAAAAUUUCAAAAUGUAGUAUUAUAGAAUUAAAAGUUUAUCAAAGCUGGGUAUGGUGGCUCAUGCCUGUAAUCCCAGCAUGUUGGGAGGCAGGCGAAUCACUGAGGCAAGGAGUUUGAGACCAGCCUGGCCAACAUGGUGAAACCCUGUCUCUGCUAAAAAUAACAAUAAUCACCCAGGCAUGGUGGCACACACCUGUAGUCCCAGCUACUCAGGAGGCUGAGGCAGGAUCACUUGAACCCAGAAAGUGGAGGUUGCAGUGAGCUAAGAUCACGCCACUGCACUCCAGCCUGGGGGACAGAGUGAGGCUCCUCUCAAAAAAAAAAAAAAAAAAGUUUAUCCAAAGCACUAGAGGAUCCAUCCAGAAAAAGAGAGGAAGCAACAGUGCUCUCAUUAACCAAUAGACGCGAAUCAGUCAGAAGGUAGACUGGAAGGUUCUCCGGAGAGAAAGGUCAUAUCUUCCCUAAAGCAGACAUAGCACCUAAACCCAUAGGUAGUUCUGGGGUGGAGAUAAUAUUUAAAAUACACUGGCUGUGGUGGUAUUCUACCUCUUCAGGGUGUCCAGUGGCUGUUUCCUG